Magnolia sinica is the source of this 849-nucleotide RNA transcript. It is a transcript of the gene named protein DJ-1 homolog B-like, with no coding region annotated. The transcript has 5 exons. NCBI's taxonomy places the organism in Eukaryota, Viridiplantae, Streptophyta, Magnoliopsida, Magnoliales, Magnoliaceae. The record is from RefSeq and is a predicted model, not a curated record.
CAUCUGAUUUUUUUUCAUGGUAACCUUAAUCGAGAAACUUAUUCUGGCUUUGCUUGUGGACUGCAGAAACAAGCUUUAUAAGGUUUGUUCUUUGUUUAGUUUUAGCCCUGUUUGGUAGAUUGUUUGCUUAGGGUUCAUCUCUUUUUGUAAGCAUUUGAAAAAAGAAAAGGAAAAUUAGAACACCUAAUCAUAAUUUCCUUGGGGCCUGUUUGACAAGCAGGAAUCUGUGGGAGAAGAAAGGAAUUCUUUAUCAUUAUUUCCCAAUGUACCAGUUCCAGGUUGGCAAGCUGCUACACCUCAUGGCAUGGGAUUUGGCAUGCAAUGUCAAUGCCUGCAUUUCCCCAGAUAUCAAAAACUACUAACCCAUUUGAUCUUGGCACUGAACCAACUCCAAUUCAUGCCCCAAUGGUUGUGAAAUGUGAGUUGCUGGUUGUCCCUGUAAGGGAAUUACCAUCUGAGAAAUGUCCAACCUAGCUCUCUAGUUCCCAAUCAGCUAUAUUUUAAUCCUGCUACUGUGAAAAUGUUGAGUAACCUGAAGUAUGAAAGCAAUGCGUGGUUCGUAAGGUGGUCAACCAUGUGCAGUAAGCUUUCAGAUCAGAGCGAAGCUAAGAAUAGGGUGUUAGUUGAUGGAAAAUUGAUAACCAGUAGAGGCACAUCCAUGGAGUUGUCGCUUGCGAUUGUUGAGAAGCUAUUUGGCUGCGAGAAGGCAUUGGAUCUUGCUGUCAAUGAGAACUUUAAAUAGACAUAUAACUAUUAUGUUGGUAUUGUACUUUUGUCAAUGGAUUAAAAUGAAUGAUUGUAUUUGAUUGAAUGAAUGAAAGAUUGCAUUUGAUUGAAUGAAUAAAUAAU